Molecule: non-coding RNA, 30 nt
Filed under: Mus musculus (house mouse)
Lineage: Eukaryota; Metazoa; Chordata; Mammalia; Rodentia; Muridae
Source: RNAcentral
UAAGCCAUGCACCUAGAAGCCAAGGACUCU